This is a long non-coding RNA of Brachypodium distachyon (stiff brome), 396 nucleotides long. RefSeq lists it as uncharacterized. The record is from RefSeq and is a predicted model, not a curated record. The transcript has 2 exons. NCBI's taxonomy places the organism in Eukaryota, Viridiplantae, Streptophyta, Magnoliopsida, Poales, Poaceae.
GGGAUAUAUGUGCAAGUCUCUAGCCAAGAACUCUCUUCGCUGUUGUCUCAGCAUUGUACGAUUGAAAAUGAUGUUGCCUUUUCCGCUCACAGCCUCAAAUCAAACGUUUCCAAUCCAUUUGCCACAACAGGUACAUUGAUUGUUGUCUCAAUGGAUGCUGGCCAUUUAUGGAUUACCCUCUACUAAUCUGGUGCCUUAUACAUUUUCUUCAAACUAUAUAUGGAUGACAUGGUUUCGUUACUCUUUCAUCAUCUUCAACAAUUGAGAGAAAAGGAGAUGCAGUUUGUCAUUGGACAACACGUGGAUUUGUUCUGUAUGGUUAUGUAUAUAUAUCAGGUGACAUUUUCACUUGAAAAAUAUCAAAUUGGUAUUGAUACAACUCAAAAUGUCCCACUA